Molecule: long non-coding RNA, 1758 nt
Filed under: Nicotiana benthamiana
Lineage: Eukaryota; Viridiplantae; Streptophyta; Magnoliopsida; Solanales; Solanaceae
Description: long non-coding RNA (NBEN_LNC027798)
Source: RNAcentral
AACAUUUGGGUUCAAGUUAUCCAUUUUUACGCCUAAUUUUUCGGACCUAGCCCAAAACAAUCCGAGUCCACCACACGUGGGGGACACGAACGGAACACAAUGUCAUGGGGACACUCUUGGACCCCUCAAAUUAUUGCUACACACGUGAGCCCCAUUUUUGGGUCUUAUAUUUUUUUCAAAACAAGAAAAGGAUAUUACACUUGAGCUGGACAUUUUUUACUAGAUGAAAAAGACCAUAUGGUCAGUUUUUAAAAAGGGAAAAGAGAGAGUGGGUGGAAGACAAUAGAAAAGUUGAGCAUUAUUUGGGGACCAAAGAUACUACUAUUGGGUCUUCUUCCUUCAAAAAGAAAACGAGACACAUAAUAGAGAUAGACAAUUGGAGAGGAGAGAAGUCCUGAAGAUCUUUUGAGAGAGGGGAUUUGAAGCCAGUUCUUCUUUAAGCAUUUUAAGAGUUUGGGGAUCAGUUUUUUCGAAAGAUUUUAGAGCUUAAUUCCUCCACAAUUUGAAACCUUAAGAGUUUAGAGAGAGUAUUGAGAGCUAGAAAAUAGACUGACUUUUGGAAUCCUAAAAAAUCAGUAAGAGAGUAUUAGAGUUCUGGUCGGGUUUCAUAAUAUUCUGUUUAGGAGUUAUUUAAGCAUCCAAUUUUGAAGCUAAGUCGGAGAUUUUGAAAAGAAGAAAAAUAAAUGUAAAGAGGACACUUCUUCAUUAAUUUUCUGAUUGACUUUUGAUCAAUUCUCUUCUAUGUGAUUGCUGGAUGUUUCUCCUAAGAUCAAAGCUUCAACUUCCACGGAUUGGUGCUUUCCGGUUUGUUUAACUGUUUGUUCUGGAAAUCCCAGUUCAGUUUUGAACUCAUCUUGAGCUUAUUUGAGUGGUGUGUGUGUUUGAGUGGUCCAGCUUGAUUUUGUUUUAAAUUCUCCUGGUCUUGCUACUUUCGUUACUGGUUUGUUGUUGAUUGCUGAUUGAUGUUGCUGCUCGAUUAGUGUAUGAGCUGAUUCCAUCUUCUCCUUUUCUGUUCUGUACCCAGCUAUUUGUCUCAACAUUGAAUGACGUAUAAAUGUCAAGUUGAAUAAAGCCUAUUUGGAAGAGAGAUUGAAAUGCAAGAAGUACUGUUAUUGCCUUGGCUUCUAUGCAAUUCUAUCUUCUGAUCGUUUUGAAUGUCUAAGUUCUGUUAGAUAUGUAAUGGUAAUAUAGAGAUUUGAAUAACUAGGAUCUGUUAUAGUUUGUGUAACUUGGACUAGUUAAACUUGUAAUAUAUGAUGGACUGUACUGAAAUGAGGAACUAUUAGCAUAAGAAUCUUGGCAGUUGAGUAUUAGUUGGGAUUAAAUUGAAUCUAUUUUUAUUGGUUAAGUUUGAUCUCCAGUAUUACCAAAAACACUUUCAAUAUGUGAAUAGAUAGAAUAUAAGUUGUUGAAGUAAUGUGAUACUUUUCUCAAUAUGACAGUUUUAGAUAAAGUGAAUUAUUAUAAAAGUCUGAGUUCUCAAAUUCAGAAAGCUUAGAGUAAAGGUGUGGUUUAAAAGGCAUGAAUUAUUGAUUAAGUAUAUGCAAUCAGUAAGGUUAAUUUUAGGCAAUUCUUUUUAGGCUAGUAUCACUAGAUCUCGAUUUUGAAUUCUCAUCGUAACCUUGUUAAUAUUCAAUUCAAGCUUGUAAAUCAGCACUUUAAUAAAUUGAGUAAGAGUAAGGGAUUUGAAACUCGAAUUAGUAUGCAAUAUGUUUGUAAUUAUGGUUAUAGGUAGCUUAUAUAGGAUAAGGAAGUUGA